CACGUAGGAUCCAAGCGUUAUCCGGAUUUACUGGGCGUAAAGCGCGUGUAGGUGGUUUGUUAAGUUGGGUGUUAAAUCUCUCGGCUCAACUGAGAGAUGUCGCUCAAAACUAGCAGACUGGAGGACGGUAGAGGAGGGUGGAAUUCCGGGUGUAGUGGUGAAAUGCGUAGAUAUCCGGAGGAACACCAGUGGCGAAGGCGGCCUUCUGGACCGCUCCUGACACUCAAACGCGAAAGCUAGGGGAGCAAACGGG
RNAcentral lists this ribosomal RNA (253 nucleotides) under uncultured bacterium. RNAcentral describes it as "partial 16S ribosomal RNA". It matches the Rfam family "Bacterial small subunit ribosomal RNA", at positions 524 to 776 of the family's 1533-position model. The record is from RNAcentral.